Molecule: long non-coding RNA, 8226 nt
Organism: Gasterosteus aculeatus aculeatus (three-spined stickleback)
Lineage: Eukaryota; Metazoa; Chordata; Actinopteri; Perciformes; Gasterosteidae
Source: Ensembl
UUUCUUUUUGUUUCUCUCUAAAAUCAGGAUUAUUUCUGUAGCGAGAGACCAAGAUUUCUUUUUGUUUCUCUCUAAAAUCAGGAUUAUUUCUGUAGCGAGAGACCAAGAUUUCUUUUUGUUUCUCUCUAAAAUCAGGAUUAUUUCUGUAGCGAGAGACCAAGAUUUCUUUUUGUUUCUCUCUAAAAUCAGGAUUAUUUCUGUAACGAGAGACCAAGAUUUUUCUUUUGUUUUCUCUAAAUUCAGCAUUGUUUCUGUAACGAGUGACAAAGAUGUGUUUUUUUUUCUGUCUAAAAUCAGCAUUUUCUGUGUACCGGGAGGAAAUGUACUCUUUCCGUUUUUGCUUCAAGUCAACGUUGUCUCUUGUAUUAUUUAUUUUCUUUUGUCUAAAUUCAGGGUUGUUCUGAUAUUGGCUUUUUGCAUGAGAUAUCUUGUCUGCUUUAUAUGCUUUAUUUGAAGCAUAUUUUUCCCUUUCCUUCCUUUUCUGAAUCUCUUUUCUCUGUUGAGUUUUCACUGAGAUCAUCAGUCUUCUUUUCAUUUUUCUCCUUUCGUUUUUAUCACACUUUGUUAGUUUGCAUGAGAUUCCGUGUAAUAGAACAUCAGAUAGAUCACUGGCAACAGUAUUUUCUACUGAGGAAGAAAUACUUGGUUCAUUGAGAGAAGCAUCAUGUGAUGGAAGGAAAGUGGAUUGACUUGACAGUUCUGUUUCAUUGGAGUUUAUGACCUCUUGUCGUCUCACCGAUGACGUAAAGAUGAUGUCACUGGACUCUGCUGUCAAUAUGUCGUCAGAUGGAUCACUGAGAACAGGGUUUAUCACUUGAAUAGUUGAUCCUGAUUCAUUGUGAGGAGCAUCAUGUGAUGAUGUUGUGAUGAAGACCUCUGGUUGAUUUACAGCUGGAGUGUGAGGAGUCGUUUCAGGUGAACUGGUCUCAUCAGUGGCUGUAGGUGAGUUUGAUUCAUCCACAGGGACAGCUGUAGGUCUGCAGUCUGUGUUUGGGAGACCAUCGUUCAGGUUGACUGUGUUCACAUUGUAAAACUCCACAGGUUUCAACUCAUAGUUACAAGAGGACUGUGUGUCCAUCAUUCUGUGGGACUUCUUGAGCCUGUCAAUCAUGUCACUGAGACGUGAGAAUGUCACCAUGACAGCAGUACCUGGUGUGCGUGAACCGGCUGGUAGGGGCAAACCUCUGGCUGUUCUGGAGUGUGGGUCAAAGAAACCGUAUCUGCCCGACUUGGUUCUGAACACUGCGAUACACAAGAGUCUCAUCAACAGCAGAGCGUACUUCACAUCUGACAACAAGCAGCUGAGUCCUGACUCCAGGUCCAGAAAGCUGUCCACAGCUCCAGGUAAAGGUUCUCCUAAUGUGCCGUACCUUGAAAGCUGAGUCAUGUCUGCAUGGUGUGUAGCGCUGCGUGCAGGAACUUCAUCAGUGAGCUCGUCGGUGGUCAGAUAGAUGUGAUUAGUGACUUGUUUCCUGGUUUCUCUAUACAUCGUGUUACCUUUAUCCAAAACAUGGUCCAGGUCUGCUCUGGUGAUGCUUUCAUUCUCAUGGAGGAAUGCAAGAAAGGUCAGUGAGUUACAGGUGCACUGCCGAUUUCUGGAUCUGCCGUAUCUGAUAGAAGCCUGGCUGUGGGAUGCACGGACAUGUUGUUCAGAAGGCUGAUCUCCAGGGUCUACACAGUCUGCAUUAGAAGGUCCUGCUGCACAUGGUUCUUUACUGGGUUGUCCUCUCUUUACAGUAUCUGAUACCUGUGGUACACAUGACUCAUCACCUUGACCUCUAAGGUUUACCUGCCUGACAUUAGAAGGUCCUGCUGUACAUGGAUCCUCACUGUGACGUCCACUCUUUACUGCGUCUGCAUACGAUACCUGUGACUCACUUGGAACUCCCUGUUUCACACUUCCAGCAUGAGACUCUGCAGACAUCUUUACCUCUUCACUGCUCUCAGGACCAACACAUUCUGCUCCUUCAGUCGUUGUUGCACAGGGAUUCUCUUUGGUCCGCUGCCAGCGCUGGCUCUGAGCUUGUGACCUCUUACUCUUUCUGGGCAUUGUUGUGUUUCAAAACCACAAAUGUUAUUGUUUUACUUGUAUUGUACACAACCAAGGUACUAAACACAAUAUUAAUGGUAAAAGUAACUUAACAAAGCAGAAUGUGAAAAUAGAUUAAACCUUUGUCUGCUUUUACUGAUCAAGAACACCAAGAGAACAACUUAUAAUACUUGGGUUUAUAUUAAAUCAGGAAGCGUUGUCGUGGCAACGUGAUGAUGGAUGAAAGCUUCUGAAUGUCGGGCCUGCAGACAGAAGGCAGCAACUCCCAAUGAAUCCACUUCCUCCUUAUAGAUGGCUUUGUUUUAUUUCAGUAUGAACAAAGUGAAACAACUAAACACACAAAUACACUGAAUGUUUGAAAUAAUGUACGUUUAUACAGGAAAUUGUUAUUACAGAUUUCUAGAGUACUGCUACCAAAACAAAGCUUUGGGUACAAACCAGCGGAGCUCCAAAGCAACAACGAUCAGGAAAUUAACUAUUCCUUUUAUAUGAUAUAGACUUUUACUACAAUUGUUUUUAUGUAAAGUAACAAGGGAGCAACUUUCUUGAAUUAUGUUAAUGUAAUGAUUUACUCGAAAUAUAUAUUUGAAAAUGUACCAUUCAAUUCUAAAUGAUAAAAGGUACUUUUUAUCAAUUACAACAAAAUAUGUAGGUUAUGUGUGGUUUCUUUCAGUUUCUGAAUUAACUUUUCAGUUUUGUUUAACCAAUGUGUUGGGAAAAAGUCUCGGAAAUAGUAUAAAUGCUUUGUCCGAGUUGCAAAAACAGCAAUAGUGUUCUAGAGAUAAGUGUAUAAGUUGUAGAUAGGAGAGGUAAGAGGUGAGGGUGAGAGAAGAGAGUCUCUCAGAGUAUUCAAGUCAGAUAGAUUAGGUACCAGUAACCCAAGUCGAGCCAACAGAGCUUAGUCCAAAAUUCAGUUCAGUUCAGAGAAAGGUUUCCAGAGUUUGUUCCAUUCCAUUGCCAAAGAUUACCAACGUGAGAGUGGGAUAGAGGGGGACACAAAGUGUGAGUUGCCAUAUGCAAAAGACAGAGCGGUAGAUGUGACAGGAUAGAUAGAGAGCCAACUUGUAGACAGAGUGGAUACAAGGUAUAGGAGAGAUAGAGAGCCAACGUGAUAGAGGAGAGAUGCUGCACAGCAGGACACCUGGAAGACACAAUACAAAGACACUUUAGACAGCAGUUUGAAGAUCAAUUUAAGGAACAUCUAAAUGACCAGAAUAUCAACCAUUCUACCUCGAUAAUACCUCACUUAUUUAUAUGAAAAACAAUGUUGACCAUAAAUGGAUCAUUGAGUAGACUGGUUCAGAUGUCUCACAGCUUGCGUCUCUCUCCCAAGUUGUUUCACAGCGUCGCUGCUGCCACCUCUCCUUUUACAGGGUUUGCCUUUCAUGAUUACCAGUUUUCAUUUUAUUCUGAAGUAUUGUUUAUAUAAAUCAUCUUAUUUAUUUUAAAUAUAAAAUGUUUUAUUUAUUUUAAAUAUAAAAUGUUUAAGAAGCAUUGGAGUUUAUUCAUAAGAUGUUAACAAUCCACAAUUAAAAGAUGAUACUCUGAAUUCAUGGAGCCGUGAGAGUCACUGCCUUCUUGUGUUCACUGUUCUGAAACUAUUUCAGAAUAAAAGCCUUUUGUUAAUAAGGGGAUUCCUGGACAGGAAUCUCGAAAAGAGACUCAGACUCACACAGGAGGUGCGGCUUGGAGUUUUUCAUAACAACUUCACCAUGUGUUUUAACAAAGUGUAUUCAGUUUUCACUCAUGUGUGAACUUACUGUGAAGUCACCAGCAGUGAUGGUCUGUAGUUAAAGACAGAGAGGAAACAAGAAGAGUCGGGAGAGAAAUACAUUACAUUUACAUUCUUCUCAGAAAACCAGUGCAUCACAUCCCAUUUGACUCCAGAACUGUUCUUACGGUCGGGUGAUUAUUGUUACGUACAGAUAAGACAGAUUAUUAUGAUGGGAGGACAUUUAAAAGCCAAUGUAAUAUCAAUUUACUUAUAGCAUUAACAUUAACAAUGUGUAUGAACUUACACUUCAGAGUCAGCCUGCAGGAGAGGAAGGAGGUGAGGGAUGAAAAGAGAGAAAAAGACAUUUUCAAUUCACUUCAGAAAACCAACCUAAAGCUCAUUUUAAGUACUUUCAGGUUCCUUAUUUAUUAUCAAUGUAUAAUUUAAAAUGGACAUAGAAGUGUGUGUGUGACUGUGGGGAUACCGACUGUUGUCAACAACAUACAAUCGUAUCCCUUCAAUAUGUGUUAUUGCCUGUCAAGGACUUUAAGAAAUGCAGCUGGUUCUAUAGCAUAGGACACAACAUUAACGCUGCCACCAUCAAUUAUUAGUUACAGAUUAUGCAAGCUUUUUAAAUGUUAAUGUUUUCUGAUUGAACAGAUCGGAUUUCUGGCUAAAACAAUACAUCCACAAUAGAAAGAAAUACAUAUUGAAACUCAUAUUUUUUUUUAACAAAAAAGAUCUACAUAUGCUAAACAGUGAUUCACAUUGAAGUUCUGUGGUCUGUUUUCAAUUUAAUGACAGCAUUUCUAUACUUACCAACCAAAAUGGAGAUAUGGAUCGAUGUUCUGUUGUCUGCCAGAGGAAACAAUAUGACAAAAAGACAGUAAGCGGGUUAAAGCUUCAAGCCAAACACACAAAAAAAAACCCUGUCUAUUCAAUAUAUUAUCUAUUCAAUACAUACAUUACAGAGGUAGAAUACUACUCUUUAUUACUACCAGCAUCAUAUGGGAAAUCAAGAAUUAACUCAACCGUUGUCAUGCAUUGUUUAAGUCUUCAUUAGUUUGUGUGUGUGUAGCCUCUGGUUAAAAGAAACAAGCCAGGAUUUCAAAUGCAAUAUACAUCAUAAUAAUAAUUAUAAUAAUAUCUAGCCUCUUGCUCAUCAUAUAUACCACUAUUCUUGCCAUAAAUGUUACUACAUGCUGGUAACAGCUUAAACUGCUGGUAAACGACCUAAGGAGCAUUAACAGUAUUCAUGUUAGAAAUUAGCUUGUUCCUACUGACGUUUUUACUAAUGUGUUGGCGGUUUAAAAGGCAUGACAUUGGUGUGUAACUCCUUCCUGUAACUACAUAACAUGACCGGAGGAGCUGGAUAUUCUCUGUGGGAAUAUUUGUGGGUUUUGGCGUCAUGACGCACUGGAGGGGGAUCAGCUAUGGACAAAUUAACUAAAUUUCUGCGUUUUACGUGAUGUGGAAGGCCCACAUUUGCCAGGUCUUUACGGAUGGUAACGACAUCCGUAGACGAUCGAGCUGCACUAUCACACGUAAGCACGGUAUAGAUCAUGGCGACUGGUUACAGUGCAGCAGUAAGAGCCCAGAAUAAAGAGAUUUUACUUAAUUGCAAUAAACGAAUAACAAGCGAAAUAACAGAAUUAUGUCGAUUUUUUUUGUUCAUGUUUUGUUACUUCUGUCGGCAAGACGGAAGAGCACCGAACUUUAAAAUGCUCGUUUUCUGAAUGGAGCCUGGAUGGAGCAGUGCUAGCCUAAGCUAACAUUGUAGCAGCUCCACCAACACUCGUACGGCGUCAUUAUAUACACCAUAGUGGUAUGCACAUAGUUUAAUUCGUUCUGUACCAACAUGUCUCAUAGAGCUCUAUGUGAGCAAAGAAGCUACAAUAUAGUAAGAACAAGAGCAGCCUAUAAACGCGUCAUGUUGUAGGUUACGCUUUAACAAUAGCACAAGAAAUUUGCGCCACGUUGGGUGUGAACAUGGCGUCAUGACGUUAACGGUCAGCUAACACUAGCAUAUCGGCUAGCACUGACUUUAGCCACGUUAACUGAUAAUAGUAACGUUAGCUAGCUAACCGGUGACUUAGUUAGCUAACUACCGCGUCAGUUAACGUUAACUAAAAACGUGGCAUACCCCCAACUCAUAUGUAACGUUAACUUAACAUGCUAAAGUCACAAUAGCUGCUAUGCUAGUGUUAAGCAAGCGUCAGCAUAUGCAAUACAUGGGUAAUAUUUCACUUUCAUCCAUGUAGUUAUAAACUCUAUGAGUUACCAACUAACCUCAACGGCUUUUUAAAACCUUAUAUUGUAUUUAUAUCGAUUAAAUCAUUCUCCGUUAGCGGCUCACAAUUACUUACCAGAGAAGACGGCAGGACGGCAGGGUGCGCAUGCGCAGUUCAGUUGUAGUGUUCACUGAGGCGUUCAGGGGGCACUUGGAAAUUCAGAAGUCGAACGCAAAAGAAAAUCAUGUCUAUUUCUGCAACAAUCAAUCAAUGUCACACCAAGCACAAAGUGGAAUUCAGUCAGAAAGCUCAAUGGAUUAUUAAUAAAAACAUCUAGAUAAUAUAAAUCCAGUACAUAGAUCCAAUAAAUAAACAAAUAUAAACAGGUGAGCUGAAAAGUGUAAAAACCACUAGUCUGAGACAUUGUUUGCAGCUUAAAUUAAAAAGAUGUUAUACUAAAUGGGGUGAUCAGUAACGAUUUUUGUGUUAAUAUAAGAGCAGUUAAAACAGAUGGAACACUUAAGUAAAGUGGGAGAAACAAAUGUGAGAGGAGGGUUAAUAUCGCUCAAUAAAGUAUAGUUUAUAGUUUUAGAGUCACCUCUUGCAAAUUGUAUCAGGUUGAACAAAUACUAAGCGUCAUCAGCCAUUGUUUGGAGAGGAUCUGCGCCUCACCGAGCGCUUUCAUCUCACCCGCGAGUGUAAGUUGUUGUUGUUUGUCGGCCAAUCACUGUCACAUUGCACAUUUCUCUCCAAUGAUGAGCCUUCACUCACUGGUUACUACGUCCGAAGCGGUGAGAUCAAAAGGCUUUAGUGAGCCUCACACCACUGCUGACAUUUUAGAUUUUCAUUGAACGUACGACAAGAUAAGAGAAAGGUAAGCGUUUUUCCUCUCAAAUGAUAAUGAUGAUAAUUAGAAUACUUUCAAGAGGGUUUUUCCUUUCUAAUGUGAUAAUAACUUGAACACUAUUAAGAAUACCUCAAAUUAAUUAAGUCCAUAUAUAUUUUAAUUACAAAAAACAUGAAAUUGCUAACAAAUAAUCAUUUUAAAGAUUGCUAAGUUAUAUAUCUUGUUAUUUCCAAUCACUCUCCUGUUUUAAGUCAAUUCAAGGCACUCUUAAAAGGACAUUAUAUAGUUUAUAACACUAUUACGCUAAAGAUAAUAUAUAAGAGAAGCGUAAGCCUUUUUUAAUACUGUCCUAUUCUUUAAUUUAUCCUUACUUUGUGUUUAUUGUAUUAUUUCAGAAUGGCGUUACAUGCACUCUUGUGGACAAAGCCCCCCACCCCUUAUUUCCGACCCCCACCGAUCCACCUGUGUGUCGUGGGGAUGGUGGAGCAGAGCAAGGUGGUGGUCUGGGACUUUGAUCCCGCAGGUGCAAGGCCAGUUACAACCAAAAAAAAUAUUCUGGCCGCAGUCUCAGAUGGGGAGUCAGUGGGAAAACUGGCUUCCUACGAAGAGUUCGGGGGGAAAUUUAAAGAGGGUGGCCAUUAUUUUAUAAAGGGGCAUUCCCUGAGAGGGAACUCUCCACCCUAUAUUAUAGUGGUUAAUAAGGACACUAUGUUCUUUAGAAGUGCUCCUAUAGCACUAUCCGAAGAAUUAAAAGAGCAGGCGGAGGCCCUCAUCCGUCCACUCUCACCACUGACGCCCCUCAGCACCUGCAGGAACGCCAAGGGGUUUCUGACCGUGGAGGGGGAAGUGAUCGAACUGUCCACGAUAAAACAGAUCUCUAAAGAAAGGGAGGUCUUUCCGCUGCGGAACGUCACUCUGCAGCAGGAUCCUCCUCCGCCGGUCAGACGCCUCACUCAGCCCCAUUUCCUCCAUCCCUGGUGAUCUUGAGGUUGAUCUUCCUUAGUCGGAAAACCUCCUGCUGGGUGUAGUCUGCCCCACCCUUUUUCGUGCAGCCAUGUCGAACGGAGCGCGCAAACUUCUCCAAGUCGGAGAAGUAGUCCUCCAGCUCCACUCCUCUCUGGUUCUUGGUGGUCUGCAGGAACGCUUUCAUCUGCCCCACCCCGUGCCUGCUGGUGACCGUCCCCCCUGAGGAGACGCUGUCUUCAGAGGCCCACCCUGAAGAGGACUCUGACUCCACACCUCCCACCUUUCCUCUGCGCCCCCCUCUUUUUGCCCGAGAGCCUCCCCUGUUGGCCCUCGUCUUCCUCUUCAGGCGGGGGGCCUUAAAGUCCACCCCCCCCUCUUCCAUAUAUUCCUCGCUGUCCGAGGUUCCACCUCGAACAGC